UACGUAGGGACCGAGCGUUGUCCGGAUUCAUUGGGCGUAAAGGGUGCGUAGGUGGCGGGGUAAGUCAGGUGUGAAAUCUCGGGGCUCAACCCCGAAACUGCACUUGAUACUGCCUUGCUCGAGUACUGGAGAGGAGAUUGGAAUUUACGGUGUAGCAGUGAAAUGCGUAGAUAUCGUAAGGAAGACCAGUGGCGAAGGCGAAUCUCUGGACAGUUACUGACACUGAGGCACGAAGGCCAGGGGAGCAAACGGG
RNAcentral lists this ribosomal RNA (253 nucleotides) under uncultured bacterium. RNAcentral describes it as "partial 16S ribosomal RNA". It matches the Rfam family "Bacterial small subunit ribosomal RNA", at positions 524 to 776 of the family's 1533-position model. The record is from RNAcentral.